GUGAUCAAAAUUAGCUUCAAGACGAAAAAUUCUUUCAUUUGUCCAAUAAAUAUAAAAAAUAAAAAAAAACAAGAAACCAAAUUUUUUAGUAAUAGAACAAGUAGAUUGUUUCUACAUACAUCCAAAAUUUCCCGUCAAAUUUGAAAACUUGAUUCACAACCUAGACAACAAUACGCCCGCCCGGGCCAGUUGGUGGUGGCGGUGGAGCUUGAGGAGGUAUAAUCUCAGGCCCCGGGGGAGGCGGAGGUACGACAUCAGGUGGCUGUGGCGGCAGUAUACCGGGAUUAGGGAGUGGGUUAUCAGGAAAACGUGGCGGAAUAUCAGGCACAAGAGGCCGGUUCAAGGGAGGUACCGGAAAAUCCGGACCCGGGUUUGGACCGGGCUCUAGUGGUGGAGGAUAUGGUCUGACUUCAGGUAGUAUAGUAGUAGUCGAGUCUACUUCUGGAGAGGUGGAAAUUCCAGGGAGCUCAGGAAGAGUAGAAGGCUGGUCGGGCGGGUCGGGUAGGGCAGGGGCUAGGAGAUGAGAUGCUGAGGGGAAUAUGGGUUUUUUGAGGAAUAGAAACUGUGUAGCCCCGUUUCCUGUCGUGGCUAGGGUAGUAGUAGCCGCGGAUGAACAAAACGGGAUGGUUCGUUUUAAGAGGGAGG
RNAcentral lists this long non-coding RNA (645 nucleotides) under Malus domestica (apple). Its description in RNAcentral is "long non-coding RNA (MDOM_LNC012107)". The record is from RNAcentral. Lineage: Eukaryota; Viridiplantae; Streptophyta; Magnoliopsida; Rosales; Rosaceae.